RNAcentral lists this long non-coding RNA (325 nucleotides) under Androctonus crassicauda. The record is from RNAcentral. Lineage: Eukaryota; Metazoa; Arthropoda; Arachnida; Scorpiones; Buthidae.
GUGAUCUACUCCUGGAUUAAGGCAAGCAAAAUCUCUCAUUCUAGGUCCUUCUGUACAGAGAACUAAAUAAUAGCUUGCAUUGCAUAAAAAUGAAGCUAGGAUUAUCACAGGGCACUGUCAUCCUAGUAAGCCAUCUUCAUUUAGCUGGAAUUACUAAUAUUCCCAAUUGUGUAGACUGUCAAGGAGGAGAUGAAACUCCUCUUCACAUUUUGUGUGAAUGUGUGGCUCUUUCAGUGCUAAGGUAUGAUCUUUGGGUUGCAUUUUCCUGCACCAGAUCUUUUUAUAGUCCCAUUGAAGAAGAUACUGUCUUUUCUGAUCAAGACUG